AAGUGGACACAGACUUGGGAGGAAGAUGUUGACCUUCCUUCCUGGAAAACCAUAAAUUUUAGAAACACUUUUUUAUGGGGUGUCCUUUCUUGCCUCUAACAACAACUCCACUGAAUCGCCCCAAACCCAUAGGAACAUGAGUGAAAGGAAUGUGACUUCCAUAAGACCAACUGCCCUCCCGUCGAAAAGAUAGAUACCUCCUCCUCCUCCUCCGUUUUUGAUGGUAAAGAACAUCAGACAUUCUACCUCCUCUAUUAAGAAGAAGAAAACUGAGAUAGGAGGGGUGAGGAGUCACAAUAGCGCAACAGGAGC
Molecule: long non-coding RNA, 312 nt
Filed under: Bos taurus (domestic cattle)
Lineage: Eukaryota; Metazoa; Chordata; Mammalia; Artiodactyla; Bovidae
Description: long non-coding RNA NONBTAT017390
Source: RNAcentral